RNAcentral lists this non-coding RNA (32 nucleotides) under Geobacter sulfurreducens PCA. The record is from RNAcentral. Lineage: Bacteria; Pseudomonadati; Thermodesulfobacteriota; Desulfuromonadia; Geobacterales; Geobacteraceae.
ACGCCUAUGACCACGCGGCGAAGAUCAUCGGU